Molecule: ribosomal RNA, 842 nt
Filed under: uncultured Planctomycetota bacterium
Lineage: Bacteria; Pseudomonadati; Planctomycetota
Description: bacterial SSU rRNA
Rfam family: Bacterial small subunit ribosomal RNA
Source: RNAcentral
GGCGGCGUGGAUUAGGCAUGCAAGUCGAGCGCGAUAUUUUUGAAAGAUACUUCGGUUGAUUUCUAAAAUGGAAAGCGGCGAAAGGGAGAGUAACGAGUAGAUACGUACCCAGGGGUCCGGGAUAGCCAUGCGAAAGCGUGUGUAAUACCGGAUAAUGUCUCCGGACCAAAGAUUUAUCGCCCUUGGAGCGGUUUGCUUACUAUUAGCUUGUUGGUGGGGUAAAGGCCUACCAAGGCUUAGAUGGUUAGCGGGUGUGAGAGCAUGACCCGUCUCACUGGGACUGAGACACUGCCCAGACACCUACGGGUGGCUGCAGUCGAGAAUCUUCCGCAAUGGACGAAAGUCUGACGGAGCGACGCCGCGUGCUGGAUGAAGGCCCUCGGGUUGUAAACAGCUGUCGUAGGGGAGGAAAUUUUGACCGAUCCUAGGAGGAAGCGCAGGCUAAGUUCGUGCCAGCAGCCGCGGUAAUACGAACUGUGCAAACGUUAUUCGGAAUCACUGGGCUUAAAGGGUGCGUAGGCGGGUUGGUAGGUCAGAUGUGAAAGCCCACGGCUCAACCGUGGAAUUGCGUUUGAAACCACCAGUCUUGAGGGGAUCAGAGGAGAGCGGAACUGAUGGUGGAGCGGUGAAAUGCGUUGAUAUUAUCAGGAACACCGGUGGCGAAAGCGGCUCUCUGGGAUCUUUCUGACGCUGAGGCACGAAAGCUAGGGGAGCGAACGGGAUUAGAUACCCCGGUAGUCCUAGCUGUAAACGAUCUGCACUAGUCUGUGGAGACUCCCACAUCUUCUCGGACGUAGCGAAAGUGUUAAGUACAGCGCCUGGGGAGUAUGGUCGCAAGGCAA